AACGAACGCUGGCGGCAUGCCUAACACAUGCAAGUCGAACGAGACCUUCGGGUCUAGUGGCGCACGGGUGCGUAACGCGUGGGAACCUUCCCUUAGGUUCGGAAUAACUCCCCGAAAGGGGUGCUAAUACCGGAUAAUGUCUUCGGACCAAAGAUUUAUCGCCUUUGGAUGUGCCCGCGUUGGAUUAGCUAGUUGGUAGGGUAAAAGCAUACCAAGGCGACGAUCCAUAGCUGGUCUGAGAGGAUGAUCAGCCACACUGGGACUGAGACACGGCCCAGACUACUACGGGAGGCAGCAGUGGGGAAUAUUGGACAAUGGGCGAAAGGCUGAUCAAGCAAUGCCGCGUGAGUGAUGAAGGCCUUAGGGUUGUAAAGCUCUUUUAACCGGGAUGAUAAUGACAGUACCGGGAGAAUAAGCUCCGGCUAACUCCGUG
Molecule: ribosomal RNA, 433 nt
Filed under: uncultured bacterium
Lineage: Bacteria
Description: partial 16S ribosomal RNA
Rfam family: Bacterial small subunit ribosomal RNA
Source: RNAcentral